RNAcentral lists this ribosomal RNA (481 nucleotides) under uncultured organism. Its description in RNAcentral is "partial 16S ribosomal RNA". It matches the Rfam family "Bacterial small subunit ribosomal RNA", at positions 329 to 801 of the family's 1533-position model. The record is from RNAcentral.
ACGUACACUCCUACGGGAGGCAGCAGUGGGGAAUAUUGCACAAUGGGCGCAAGCCUGAUGCAGCCAUGCCGCGUGUGUGAAGAAGGCCUUCGGGUUGUAAAGCACUUUCAGCGGGGAGGAAGGCAAUGCGGUUAAUAACCGUGUUGAUUGACGUUACCCGCAGAAGAAGCACCGGCUAACUCCGUGCCAGCAGCCGCGGUAAUACGGAGGGUGCAAGCGUUAAUCGGAAUUACUGGGCGUAAAGCGCACGCAGGCGGUCUGUCAAGUCGGAUGUGAAAUCCCCGGGCUCAACCUGGGAACUGCAUUCGAAACUGGCAGGCUUGAGUCUUGUAGAGGGGGGUAGAAUUCCAGGUGUAGCGGUGAAAUGCGUAGAGAUCUGGAGGAAUACCGGUGGCGAAGGCGGCCCCCUGGACAAAGACUGACGCUCAGGUGCGAAAGCGUGGGGAGCAAACAGGAUUAGAAACCCGAGUAGUCCCAUGAU